UAGCUCAGUUGGUAGAGCACCGGUCUCCAAAACCGGGUGUCGGGAGUUCGAGUCUCUCG
Molecule: transfer RNA, 59 nt
Filed under: Duncaniella sp.
Lineage: Bacteria; Pseudomonadati; Bacteroidota; Bacteroidia; Bacteroidales; Muribaculaceae
Description: tRNA-Trp
Rfam family: tRNA
About the family: Transfer RNA (tRNA) molecules are approximately 80 nucleotides in length. Their secondary structure includes four short double-helical elements and three loops (D, anti-codon, and T loops).
Source: RNAcentral